This 496-nucleotide ribosomal RNA is filed under the name uncultured bacterium. Its description in RNAcentral is "partial 16S ribosomal RNA". It matches the Rfam family "Bacterial small subunit ribosomal RNA", at positions 29 to 507 of the family's 1533-position model. The record is from RNAcentral.
AUGAACGCUGGCGGCGUGCCUCAUACCUGCAAGUCGAGCGAACAGACGAGGAGCUUGCUCCUCUGACGUUAGCGGCGGACGGGUGAGUAACACGUGGAUAACCUACCUAUAAGACUGGGAUAACUUCGGGAAACCGGAGCUAAUACCGGAUAAUAUAUUGAACCGCAUGGUUCAAUAGUGAAAGACGGUUUUGCUGUCACUUAUAGAUGGAUCCGCGCCGCAUUAGCUAGUUGGUAAGGUAACGGCUUACCAAGGCAACGAUGCGUAGCCGACCUGAGAGGGUGAUCGGACACACUGGAACUGAGACACGGUCCAGACUCCUACGGGAGGCAGCAGUAGGGAAUCUUCCGCAAUGGGCGAAAGCCUGACGGAGCAACGCCGCGUGAGUGAUGAAGGUCUUCGGAUCGUAAAACUCUGUUAUUAGGGAAGAACAAAUGUGUAAGUAACUAUGCACGUCUUGACGGUACCUAAUCAGAAAGCCACGGCUAACUACGUG